AUUCAUGAAAAUUCGGGGGUAUAAAAGGAGUAGCGAUCGUUGAGUAAAGUUAACACAACAAAAAUAUAGCUUAAAAGUAGAACAAGUGAAACUGUGGAAGAACCAUGUCUCGUUACGUUUUCGCUCUCGUCCUUCUGGUUGUGGUUGCUGUGGGUGUAAGCGCUUUCCCAUCGGAGCAACCAUGCCCUGAAAAUAUGUUCUGGUCAGGCCUUGGAAGAAUGUGCGAGCCAAGCUGCGAAGAUCCGUCGUUCAGACUCUGUGGCGCUCCUCUCGACUUUGCCUGCCGCUGUAUGGAGGGCUUCUUCAGAGACGGAGAUAGGUGUAUUCCCUUGUCAGAAUGUCCAAAACACUAGGAAAUUUAUCAACGAUCAUCUCUGCUCCCUAACGAACCCCUUCGUGUAACUACGCUUCUAAUGCAACGACAAUAAUAAACAAUUUUGCACGCAGAAAUUUGUUUUAUUUCCAAUCACCUCCAGAAAAACAGUCCAAAGUAAUCGUACCAUUAUUUUAAUAUUCAGCCCUGCUAUGAUCUAACAAUAUACACGACACAUCGUUUUAGUAUGUUUUUUGUUUAUGAUUUGAAUAAUUAUAGAGUGACAAUAAAUCACUGAAUCAGAGAUUGUAUAGUACGGAAAUUCGCCGUGUGCUUGAACAACCAAACAGCCUCGAUACCAAUGUUAUCUCUGACGAAAGAACAGCCAACGUGGCGAACAUUAUCGAGAUAAUCACGAGUAUAAAAACGAAGAAUAUUCGAGAGGCCCGCAGACGUGAGCGAAUGCAAGACGUGUAACAUCGAAUAAGGAUUGACAAUGUUUCGAUACGUCUUCGUUCUUCUCCUGAUCGCUAUGGUGGUCGUAGCUGCUACUGCAGCGAAACACACUACUCCGAAACCAAGGAAGAAGUGUCCCCAAUAUGAGAAAUGGUCUAGGUGUGGAACUAGCUGUGAAGUAACCUGUGCCAUUUGGGACGAUGGUUUUACAGUCUGCCCGAAAUUUGUGAGUCAUGGAAACAAUUGUCUAUUUAAAAAUGAUAUAAAAUCUUGAAAUAUUCCGAGCUCUUUGGUUUCAGGAGUGCCAAAAACAUCUGGUUGCCUGCAGGUGCAAACCAGGUUACGUAAGAAACAACAAAAAGUGUAUCCCACCACAGAAAUGUCCCAAUUGGAAGGAUCCUCGUUCGUGAAAUGUAGAUUAUAUACGUUGGACUCGACAAAUAAAAGCACCAUGAAGUCAUUACAUUUGUAUUUAUUUACUGUAAAUUAUUUCAUUCUAUAUAUAAUUCGAACUCUAAUCUAUCCUCAACGAGCACUGGAUAAACGUGUAACCAGAUAACAAUGUUGGCAAUCUUCAGUUCGACGGGACGAUAAAGCUAUCGACUUUGCUUGAAAACAUGUAACUCGAAGGACUUUUUUAUCAGGGCAACGUAUAGCUGAAUCAAACGUAAAUAUAACGUAAUCGUCGCACGUGGCAAAAUAUCUCGAUUGGCGACACGGUAAAGAACGUAAGAAACCAUUGACAUCGAGUUUACUCAGCUUUUGCCAUCGAUCAUUUGAUUUAAAAAAUUACUUCCACAAUAAUUCCUACGAUAGCGUUAUCUCGAAAGGAAGAAAUUUGCAUAAAGGCGUGAGUAUAUAAAAUCUCUGGUAUCUAAACACGUAGUAUCAUAAACUAAAGUGAACUCGCAGCGAAAUCAUCUAAAAAUCGACCAUGUCUCGUUUCGUCAUCCUUCUCGUCCUCCUAACUACAGCAAUGGCCGUGUCCGCAAAUGAGGAAUUUCGACCGUUAGUCAAGUGCCCUCACAACGAGUUGUGGUCGUGGUGCGCGAAAAAUUGCGAACCAACUUGCAAAGUUCCCGUACCGAACGAGAAGACUUGUCCAGAAUUGGUGUGUAAUCCCAAG
Molecule: RNA transcript, 1895 nt
Organism: Hylaeus volcanicus
Lineage: Eukaryota; Metazoa; Arthropoda; Insecta; Hymenoptera; Colletidae
Gene name: serine protease inhibitor swm-1-like
Exons: 6
Source: RefSeq, a predicted model, not a curated record